This 65-nucleotide transfer RNA is filed under the name Leptestheria dahalacensis. RNAcentral's name for it is "tRNA-Trp". The record is from RNAcentral. Lineage: Eukaryota; Metazoa; Arthropoda; Branchiopoda; Diplostraca; Leptestheriidae.
AAGAUCUUAAGUUAAUUAAAACUGGAAGCCUUCAAAGCUUCUAAUAAGCACAAGCUUAGAUCUUA